AGAGAUGUGUGAUGACGCAUAUCAAUAAGCGGAGGAAAAGAAACUAACAAGGAUUCCCUUAGUAACGGCGAGUGAAGCGGGAAGAGCUCAAAUUUGAAAUCUUCAAGGUUCUACCUUGACGAAUUGUAGUUUAUAGAAGUGUUUUCUGUUAGUAGAGUGGCAAAAGUUCUUUGGAAUAGGACAUCAUAGAGGGUGAGAAUCCCGUAUUUGGUCAUUCUUUCUAGCUUUGUGAUACACUUUCAACGAGUCGGAUUGUUUGGGAAUGCAGUCCAAAAUGGGUGGUAAAUUUCAUCUAAAGCUAAAUAUUGGCGAGAGACCGAUAGCGAACAAGUACCGUGAGGGAAAGAUGAAAAGAACUUUGAAAAGAGAGUUAAACAGUACGUGAAAUUGUCAAAAGGGAAGCGUUUGACACCAGUGUUGUUUUUCCGAAAAUCAAUUACGAAUGUUUUGUUUUUAAGAAGUUAUGACUUCAUCGGCUUGCUUCUCUCUUUACUGAAACUUUCUUAAUGCACUUUUCGGUUAACAAGUCAACAUCAAUUUCUUUUGUUGUAAAAGGGUAUGAGGAAGGUGGCUUUCUUUUCGGAGAAAGUGUUUAUAGCCUUGUACCUCUGCAAUCGGAGAGAUUGAGGUCUGCAGCGUAGAUCCUUCGGGGUUAGAUACAUUUGUGCUAAGCUAUAGCCUUGUAUAGACAACUUGUUGACUAUGCUCAGUCAUGUAGCUUACUCGUAGAUGCUAUUUUACCUACGCUUAGGAUGUUGAAGAUGUAGCACAUCAU
RNAcentral lists this ribosomal RNA (775 nucleotides) under uncultured Neocallimastigales. RNAcentral's name for it is "partial large subunit ribosomal RNA". It matches the Rfam family "Eukaryotic large subunit ribosomal RNA", at positions 23 to 643 of the family's 3401-position model. Lineage: Eukaryota; Fungi; Neocallimastigomycota; Neocallimastigomycetes; Neocallimastigales. The record is from RNAcentral.